ACAGGGGAGUAACAGUCAGAAAUAGGCUGCUAAUACCGCAUAAGCGCACAGAGCUGCAUGGCUCAGUGUGAAAAACUCCGGUGGUAUAAGAUGGACCCGCGUUGGAUUAGCUAGUUGGUGGGGUAACGGCCCACCAAGGCGACGAUCCAUAGCCGGCCUGAGAGGGUGAACGGCCACAUUGGGACUGAGACACGGCCCAGACUCCUACGGGAGGCAGCAUG
This 221-nucleotide ribosomal RNA is filed under the name uncultured bacterium. RNAcentral describes it as "partial 16S ribosomal RNA". It matches the Rfam family "Bacterial small subunit ribosomal RNA", at positions 135 to 353 of the family's 1533-position model. The record is from RNAcentral.